This 602-nucleotide ribosomal RNA is filed under the name Hyalosphaera sp. RWB1611c. Its description in RNAcentral is "eukaryotic LSU rRNA". It matches the Rfam family "Eukaryotic large subunit ribosomal RNA", at positions 330 to 954 of the family's 3401-position model. The record is from RNAcentral. Lineage: Eukaryota; Fungi; Ascomycota; Dothideomycetes.
GAGACCGAUAGCGCACAAGUAGAGUGAUCGAAAGAUGAAAAGUACUUUGGAAAGAGAGUCAAAAAGCACGUGAAAUUGUUGAAAGGGAAGCGCUUGCAGCCAGACUUGCCCGCAGUUGCUCACCUAGGCUUUCGCCUGGGGCACUCUUCUGCGGGCAGGCCAGCAUCAGUUUGGGCGGUUGGAUAAAGGCCUCUGUCACGUAUCUCCCUUCGGGGUGACCUUAUAGGGGAGGCGCAAUGCAACCAGCCCGGACUGAGGUCCGCGCAUCUGCUAGGAUGCUGGCGUAAUGGCUGUAAGCGGCCCGUCUUGAAACACGGACCAAGGAGUCUAACAUCUAUGCGAGUGUUUGGGUGUCAAGCCCGAGCGCGCAAUGAAAGUGAACGGAGGUGGGAACCCUUUGGGUGCACCAUCGACCGAUCCUGAUGUCUUCGGAUGGAUUUGAGUAAGAGCAUAGCUGUUGGGACCCGAAAGAUGGUGAACUAUGCUUGAAUAGGGUGAAGCCAGAGGAAACUCUGGUGGAGGCUCGCAGCGGUUCUGACGUGCAAAUCGAUCGUCAAAUUUGGGCAUAGGGGCGAAAGACUAAUCGAACCAUCUAUAGCUGG